CAGCCAUGCCGCGUGUAUGAAGAAGGCCUUCGGGUUGUAAAGUACUUUCAGCGAGGAGGAAAGGUAGGUAGUUAAUAACUGCUUACUGUGACGUUACUCGCAGAAGAAGCACCGGCUAACUUCGUGCCAGCAGCCGCGGUAAUACGAGGGGUGCAAGCGUUAAUCGGAAUUACUGGGCGUAAAGCGUACGCAGGCGGUUUGUUAAGCAAGAUGUGAAAGCCCCGGGCUCAACCUGGGAACUGCAUUUUGAACUGGCAAACUAGAGUCUUGUAGAGGGGGGUAGAAUUUCAGGUGUAGCGGUGAAAUGCGUAGAGAUCUGAAGGAAUACCGGUGGCGAAGGCGGCCCCCUGGACAAAGACUGACGCUCAGGUACGAAAGCGUGGGGAGCAAACAGGAUUAGAUACCCUGGUAGUCCACGCCGUAAACGAUGUCUACUCGGAAUUUGGUGUCUUGAACACUGGGUUCUCAAGCUAACGCAUUAAGUAGACCGCCUGGGGAGUACGGCCGCAAGGUUAAAACUCAAAUGAAUUGACGGGGGCCCGCACAAGCGGUGGAGCAUGUGGUUUAAUUCGAUGCAACGCGAAGAACCUUACCUACUCUUGACAUCCUCAGAACUUUCCAGAGAUGGAUUGGUGCCUUCGGGAACUGAGAGACAGGUGCUGCAUGGCUGUCGUCAGCUCGUGUUGUGAAAUGUUGGGUUAAGUCCCGCAACGAGCGCAACCCUUAUCCUUAUUUGCCAGCACGUAAUGGUGGGAACUUUAGGGAGACUGCCGGGUGAUAAACCGGGAGGAAGGUGGGGACGACGUCAAGUCAUCAUGGGCCCUUUACGAGUAGGGGCUACACACGGUGCUACAAUGGGUCGGGAACAAGAAGGGUUGCCGAAGCCCGCGAGGUGGAAGCUAAAUCUCCACAAAAGCCGGGUCGGAAGUCCCGGAAUUGGAAGUCUUGCAACUCCGACUCCCAUGAAAGUCCGGGAAUCCCCUAGUAAUCCGUAAUAUCAAAAAUUGCUAACGGGAAUAACCUUUCCCCGGGGCCUUUGGUAACACCCCCGGCCCCGGUCACAACCAUUGGGGAAUUGGGGCU
This 1083-nucleotide ribosomal RNA is filed under the name Shewanella sp. RNAcentral describes it as "bacterial SSU rRNA". It matches the Rfam family "Bacterial small subunit ribosomal RNA", at positions 389 to 1533 of the family's 1533-position model. Lineage: Bacteria; Pseudomonadati; Pseudomonadota; Gammaproteobacteria; Alteromonadales; Shewanellaceae. The record is from RNAcentral.